CAAGGACAUACCGUACGCUCCUCAAGGUAGGACUACAAGUUCAUGCCAAAUAUACCUCCAGCCAAUGUUUUUAUGAGCUUCAGUGGCUUCUAUAUGCAUGGGGAUGACAUUAUAUGAUUCAAGGUUUGAGGAAUAUUUAUAAUGUUUACACAAAUCUGGUGAAAAUGCUUGCAUAUCAAUCCAGUGUGCUUGUCUAUAUAUAGUACACAGUGAGCUAAAGAAGGAAUACACAAUUAGUCCAAUUUGCUGUACAUAGUAGAUGUGAUUGACAGAGUUAUUAUUGCUGAAUCCCCUAAUCAUGCGGUUCCCUUAUACGACCCCUCAAAAUCAAUGUACCAUCAGCGACAUUGAUUUUGCUUCGUAGGAAAUUGAAGCGAGAUCGACUGAGAGGCUUGGUCAGUAAAUCUGCUAGCUGAUCAUCUGUGUGAACAUGUGCAACUUGAAGACAACCAUGGUGAACAAAGUUACGAACAAAAUGGAGGUCAAUUGCUAUAUGUUUCAUCUAGAGUGCAAAACAGGAUUAAGACUAAGUUGAGUGGCUCCAACAUUAUCACAAAGGAGCCGUGGAUGAACAUGGAGGUUAACACCAAGUUCAUCAAGACGGGAUUGAAUCCAGGCAAUGUCCGAGGUGGCAGUGGUAAGGGCCCGAUAUUCAGCUUCAGUGGAGGAUCAAGCUACCGCCUUUUGCUUCCUAGUGCUCCAACUGAUGGGAUUAUUGCCCAGAAAGUGGACUUACGAUCAUCAAGAUUACCACCCCAGUCUGCAUCUGAAAAUCCACGUAGAACAAGAUUGGUUUCACGGCGAAGUAGAAGACCAAAGUGAAUCGUCUGCUUAAGAUAACGUAGGAGGCGCUUGACAUGUUGCCAAUGAGUCACAGUAGGUUUGUGCAUAAACUGAACAAGGCGAUUCACUGUAAAAUCAAUGUCUGGGCGAGUGAGAGACAGGUAUUGCAACGAACCAAUGGUGCUGCGAUAUUUCGUAGCAUCACACCCAGCAGUGCCAUCAUGGAGAAGAAGUUUUGUAGUUGUAGACAUGGGAGUUUGAACCUCCUUGGCACCAGUUAUCUUUAAACGAGUGAGAAGAUCAUGGACAUAGCAAUUCUGGGAGAGAAAUAGACCCUGAUGGACUGGAAUGACUUCAACUCCAAGGAAGAAAUGUAGAUCACACACCUCUUUGAGAGAAAACUUGUCACCCAAAG
RNAcentral lists this long non-coding RNA (1198 nucleotides) under Olea europaea subsp. europaea. The record is from RNAcentral. Lineage: Eukaryota; Viridiplantae; Streptophyta; Magnoliopsida; Lamiales; Oleaceae.